UGUAAUUAUGUCGCCACAGUGAAUUAGGAAUUUUAAAGGUCUUCCUCUUUAUUUUCUAUUCUCAAAUUGAAUCCCAAUCAAUCGCCCCGGUGUCGUCGUGUCAAACCCAAGACUGAUCGGUGAAGUUCGUCGGAGUUCAAAAUCAUGAACCAUAUGUCGGCUGUUUCUAAUCUUGUCUUUGGUUUUGUUGCGUUAGGGUUUGCUAAUUCGCCACGGUCCGUGAAGCAAUUAAGAGGUCCAGACAUCCCAAACAGUCUCUUUUGAAUAAUCGAAAGUGCAACUCAAGUGAGGAUGUAAGAUUAUCAUCAAUCAAACCUUUCAUUUAUCAUCCUUUUCUUUUGUUUUAAACAUAUUGUUAAAGUAUAUAUCUGUCUUACUUGGUUGAUUUAGGGUUUUGUUUUUCCCCAAAACACUUUCUUUUGCAAUCAGAGAGUUAAAAAUUUGGAUGAAAUAGUUAUACAUAUAUAGCCUGUGGUGUACGUAUUAUGUUUAUUAUAAUAAACUAACACUGAAAUUAUUAUCAAGUAGAAACAAAUCAAAGCUUAUAAUAAGAAAUGAAAUAGAUGGAUGUUUCAGUCUUUUGAACUUCCCAUUGAUUGCAAAAUGAAUCUGACCAGGAGUUUCAUUGUAUGUAUGCUAUUAUUCUUGUUUAGCUAGACAAGUCGUGUGCUUGCCUACAUGAGUCCUCCAUCACCACGUCUCCGAAGAUAUAUUAAUAUCUUGCGUGAGCAGAAUGUAAGAACACUCUUAUUCACGUUAUAACUACAUAAUACAUCUCCCCUAGGACAGAAAUGUAAUUUCCAACUAAAAUUUUAAGACGGUAGGUGAAAAGGCACAAUCUAAUUUUCCUCUCUCCUCCAUUUUCUUCCAUCUCUACCCUCACCCUCAUACCUGACUCCCCCAAGAAUUUUCACUUACCCAUGACCUCUUUCAGAAAUAUAACGGAUAUCAUUAAUCAUGUUUAUCAUGGCUAGCCUUUCACAUUUAAUCUCAUAAUCAGUCUACACUUGAAACCGAUGUCCAUUGAAUCAGUGUAUUAUUAAUCGCGAUCUUCACAUUUAAUUUGGUGAAUCAAACAGUCCAAUGAAAUCAGCCAUCCCUUUUUAAGCCCUCUCCUCCCCCAAAUAAAUCAACGGCGACAACGAAGGCCGCACCCAGUGUUUUUCUCCACAACUUCAGCAGGUGGUGGCGUCGUCGGAGGAGUGAGCGACGGUUGUAAUGGAGUCGGUGGUCUCAGAUGUUGGCGAGACAGGGAUUUAGGUCUGAAUUGCAGUGACGGUUGCAAAGGUGCUGAGAUGCCGACGGCUAAGGUUGCUGUCGAGUGUAGAUGGUGGUUAUGCUUCGAACCCUAAAUCUUCUCUCUUUAUCACACAUCUCAACCAGAUUUUGAGGUAAGUUUUUGAGGUUUUUUUAUUGUAAGUUGUUUGUUUUUUCUUUAUUUUCCAUUAAGUUGUCUUAUCGCCUGUUUUAUUCAAUACUCGAUAAAUCUUGUUGAUUCGCCUCGGAGGCCAUCGAUUUGUAGGCAUAAUUCUCUUAUCAUGAUUCAACCUUAAACGUUGGUUUGAUUUUGAAUGGUCACAAAUGAAAUUUUAGGUUUCUGGUGGUUUGCGUUGUUGAAUUUGAGUUUUAUAUAUUAUUUUGCUGAUUUGUUCUUUUGUCAUGAUAAUUAUAAUAGAUUUGUUGUGGCGAGGGUUGUUGAUUCAUCGUUUCAUCCGAGCAGAACGAAAGGAAAGCUUUUGGUAGAUUGUUAUUUUGUUAUUUAUUAAUAGAUUUAGAUAAAAUAUUACAUUUGGGUGAAUUUUCGGAUAUUUAGAAAGCUUCAUAUGAACAAAAGUUUUUGACUUGUUUGAUCCGUAGGUGUGAGGUCCUGUCUCUCUCAUUACUAUUUUGUAUGGGAAGAUAAAAGCUUAUAUACGAAUUCAACUCUGUAUAGUGUAUAGUGUACUUGUGGGUACACCUAUGGGUACCAGACAAUCAAUCUUGACUCACAUUUACAUAUAUGGUCAUUUGGAUUUUAGCAAAAUAUUGUAGGCUGUAAUGGGCUAAGUAUUGUUUUCAAUUUGUCUCAUUGGCAAAAAUGAAAAUUCUUAAUACCGUAAACUGUAGAGGGUUCUUUGUUCUCUCUGAUUGUCGGCGAUCUCUCAACACCUGCACCCCAGACUGGUACGUUAAACUCUCUAAAAAAACAGUUCCAACUUUGAUCAUAUAUUUAGACCCGAGGACAACCAAGGUAAUUGUAGCAUAAAUAUGGUGAUAAUUUCGUUCUCGGUUAUAUAUUUUGAUUCUGUUAGUGUUGUUAUAAUAUGAACACUUGAUUUUACUGUGUUUGCAGAGGCUGAUUUUGCAGUGUCAGUGCUUGAUGGAUACAAUAUGUGUAUCUUUGCAUAUGGGCAAACUGGAACAGGAAAGGCGUUUACAAUGGAAGGAACUGCUGAAAACUGGGGAGUUAACUACCGCACUUUGAAAGAGUUAUUCAGGGUAUCUAAGGAAAGGAGUGAUAUUAUGAAAUACCAACUAUUUGUAAGCAUGUUGGAGGUCUACAAUGAGAAGAUAAAAGACCUCUUAGUUGAAGAUACUGACCAUCCUGCUAAAAAGUUGGAGAUAAAGCAAUCGGCCGAAGGAACCCAAGAAGUCCGGGGGCCAUCUCAGGUGCGCGUGCACAAGACCGAUGAAGUUUGGGAACUGCUUAAGAGCGGGAGUUGUGUACGUUCGGUUGGAUCAACCAAUGCUAAUGAGCUAAGUAGCCGUUCUCACUGGCAAAAUCUCAUAACCUUAUCAAAAAGCUUUUUAGUUCUUAAAUCAUAUUGCUUACUGAAAUCAUGUCAUUUCUUUACCUUGUCAUAGACACCAGUCAGAUUCAACAACUCAAGCAUGUCUACAAUUGCAAAACAAAAGGUUAAGUUUUAACUUAUUUCAUAUUUGGUUUGUGCUCAGUACAUGGCUGCACUCAUUUCAACAUAACCUUCAUUUUUAUAACUAUCUUCCUCCAUCUCUCCUUCCCUUAUCAGUCCAGCCUCUCACCUUGUGUUUUAUUCACCCUUCCAACUUUUCCAACUUUGUGUCUUUUUUUUAUUAGAAUUAAUUGCUUAAUACACCAAAUAAGAUCAAGAAAAAAAUUAUCAGACGACAGAGAAAACAUUGUUGCAAAUGGAAUCAAAAUCCGAAAAGAAGACAAAAAGAUUACUCGAAAAUAAUUCAAAUGGCAAAAUAUAUGAUAUGAUUAUACCUGCUGUUAGUGAAGAACAACAAAAAGGAAUAAGCAGUACAGUGAAGAUAAUAAUAUCACUACUAGAGAAGUGGGAGGUUUCCUACGCAAAAAAAAAGGGUCGCAAUGCACAGCAAACAGGCCUUCGCGACAAAAUUGAAUUUAAACUGCAAGAUUGGUUUCAAGUGGUCGAGGGUUCUUGUCCCAUGGUGGACAUUGGUGUAAAUUUAGAAGUAGAUUUAGAGGGUGUGUGAGGUAGGCGUUUCUAGAAACAAAAGAAAGAUAAUUUAAUACCAUUUUGAAACAUAUAGCAACCUUUUGUUUUAAAAGUUGAUGUAACGGUUACAUUUUCAGCUAUAGUCAUCACAUUUGAGUUGGAAAUUAUAGGUCAUACACAUCCACAAACACUGAUUUUUUUUAAAUGUAGUUAUAAAUAAAUGAUACAAAUCAACCUUACUUUUAUAGCUAUCAAUUUUAAACUAGAAGAUUGGUAGGAGCCCUUCAAUCAUAGAAAAGGCUCUCCAAAAAUAAGUGUAUGCCAUUUGAUGUAACGAGCACACGGUAUUCUUUAGUAAAAGGCGAAAGAAUAGUUCGCUUUGUGCUUACUACAUGGCUGCAUAUCCUUCAACCAUACCGACUGCCUUUUUUAAUACUUCCUUCAUCAAUCUCUCCUUCUGUUACCCAGCGGAUGUGGGAUUAAUUGAUAACCUUCUCACCUUAUGUUCUAUACACUGCUGGAACUCCCUAACCAAAUUAGAACAAGAAAAAUAAAUGGUCAAAUGACAAAGAAAGUGGCGCUGCAAAUGGCGAAUCAAAAGCCAAAAUGAAGAAAAAGAAACAAAUGCUAGAGAACACGUAUGUAAAACUCUGCAAGAAAAGGUUCGGGAUCUUGAAAACCAAUUAGCUGCGGAGCGGAAAACGAGACAGAAACAAGAGAAUCGAGCACUUGCGGUGACUUCUUCACACUCUUGAGGACUUCGUGUUUAGUGUUUCAUGGAAUAGAAUGUUUUGUAAUAAUUUUGUUUAGUUCAAUGGUUUGGAAACAUCAAAACGGGAUGGGAGGAAGAAAGGAUGAAACAUGAUGCUUUUUAUUUAGUUUAUAUUAAGAGCUUGAAAGGAAAGAUGAAAUGAUGGGAUUAUUUACAUGUAUGUAAGGAUUAGUUUCGGUGAUUUUAAUGGCUUUGCACGUUUCAUUAUUAAA
Helianthus annuus (common sunflower) is the source of this 4406-nucleotide long non-coding RNA. RefSeq lists it as uncharacterized. Lineage: Eukaryota; Viridiplantae; Streptophyta; Magnoliopsida; Asterales; Asteraceae. The record is from RefSeq and is a predicted model, not a curated record. The transcript is spliced from 4 exons.